GAGGCUCCCUGCGCCCCGACUCCGCGCGGCCGGAACCCUCGCGCCGCCGCGCCACCCGGAGCCGCCCGGGACCCGGACCCCGCGCGCCCCGCGCCGGGCGGGGACUAUUUUCUCUGCCCGUGUCCUCUCCUCUCCCCACGCCGGGAGGAACAUUCCUGGCUCUCCCCGCCCGGCUGCGUCUGUGCCCGCUCCUCCCCCGCCGCGUGUUUUCCGCCCCAGUAAAGAUCGUGCCACACAAAUAAGCCUCGAAUGCCCUUUGCCGAGCAGGCAGGAGGGCAGCAAGCGCAGAGCCCGAGCGGGCCAUUUUCAGGGCGCGUCUCCGGAGCCGCUAAAAGUCUUGUUUUCUCCCAAAAGUGGAAGGUGGGAGGUGGGGCGGUCGUGGGGCCGCUUCCAACUGCUACACACGCUCGAAUAGUUGUCAGUAAAAUCAAACUGACGUCAGCCCUGAGGAAAAAGAUAGGUCUCUUUUGUUCUCAUGUUCUACCCCCGCCCCUUGCGAUCAAAGGCAAAAAACAUUUUUUUGGAGGUGGGGGGAAAGACAAAAAGGGGGAAAAAAUUGCAAUGCGGAGAGAUAGCUUCCAUCAGAGCUCCUGCCCGGGCGAUGGGAAUGUUUAAUGAAUGCAUCAAGCCUUUUGAUCACCCUCGCUCGGUUGGGUUCAGUAGUGCCGGAAGGUUAGUUGCAUCUCCUGUGGCUGAUCUGAAAUUCGAUCAGCAGAGGGGGCAAAGAAAAGAAAAGCAUUUUAAUGGGAAUCAAUAGGGGAUCAUAGGUCUUGGAAGGAAAUACGUGUUGAUUAAAAAUGCCACAAGAUUAAAAAAUGUCCACGACUUGUUUAAAAAGAGAAAAAGGAAAAAACAGA
This 857-nucleotide long non-coding RNA is filed under the name Homo sapiens (human). RNAcentral's name for it is "non-protein coding lnc-TMEM242-11:1". The record is from RNAcentral. Lineage: Eukaryota; Metazoa; Chordata; Mammalia; Primates; Hominidae.